Molecule: ribosomal RNA, 465 nt
Filed under: uncultured bacterium
Lineage: Bacteria
Description: partial 16S ribosomal RNA
Rfam family: Bacterial small subunit ribosomal RNA
Source: RNAcentral
GACGAACGCUGGCGGCGUGCUUAACACAUGCAAGUCGAACGGAAAGGCCCCUUUGGGGGUACUCGAGUGGCGAACGGGCGAGUAACACGUGAGUAACCUGCCCUUGACUUCGGGAUAACUUCAGGAAACUGGGGCUAAUACCGGAUAGGAAUCCUUGCUGCAUGGUGGGGGUUGGAAAGCUUCGGCGGUUUUGGAUGGACUCGCGGCUUAUCAGCUUGUUGGUGGGGUAGUGGCUUACCAAGGCUUUGGCGGGUAGCCGGCCUGAGAGGGCGACCGGCCACAUUGGGACUGAGAUACGGCCCAGACUCCUACGGGAGGCAGCAGUGGGGAAUAUUGCACAAUGGGCGGAAGCCUGAUGCAGCAACGCCGCGUGCGGGAUGACGGCCUUCGGGUUGUAAACCGCUUUCAGCAGGGGCGAAGCUUGUGGUGACGGUACCUGCAGAAGAAGCACCGGCUAACUACGUG